Molecule: long non-coding RNA, 398 nt
Filed under: Bos taurus (domestic cattle)
Lineage: Eukaryota; Metazoa; Chordata; Mammalia; Artiodactyla; Bovidae
Description: long non-coding RNA NONBTAT000025
Source: RNAcentral
AAAUAAUUGGUGCUUAGAAAUGUCUUAUCAUCAACCAUCUUUUAGUUUUGGAAAUGGAGACAUUUUAUGGAUUUUUUUUUUUUUUAAUACGGAGUAUGGCUUAAAAAAAAUAGUAUAGACUGGCCAUGCUUAGAUUCAUGACUUGAGCAACUUUUGUUGAAGUAUAAUGUAGAUUUGGUACAUAAUAUAAACAAUUAGUAGAAAAUGAUUAGUUUUGUUUUGAAACAGAUCUUGUCUUGUGUUAAUUCACUUUUUCCGUAAUCUUGAUGACCUGGAUUUCUGAUCUUUUUCUGAGAUCACUAAGGUUUAUCAGAUUUUAUACUGGCAUUAGAAUAAAUCUCAUCUAGUAAUAAAGUGUACACCAUAUUUUGGUUUAGAUAUGCAGAAAUGUUCUUAAC